Molecule: unclassified non-coding RNA, 301 nt
Filed under: uncultured fungus
Lineage: Eukaryota; Fungi
Also listed under: 1 other name
Description: partial contains 5.8S ribosomal RNA, internal transcribed spacer 2, and large subunit ribosomal RNA
Source: RNAcentral
GAACGCACAUUGCACUCCUUUGGAGUAUGCCUGUUUGAGAAUCUAUAGUAUUUAUUUUUGGUUAUUUCGCAAGAGAUAAUCAAGAGAUUUGAGAUGUCUCGUCUUGGCGAGUAUCUUUAAUGUUAUAGCCUCUUUUGUGGUAAAUCAACUCUGCAGAACAGUAUUUGAAUGGAACUUUGGUUUCUUUAAUGCUUAAUAUGCAGACUUACCUAUUGAAAAGGGGGUCCAUAAACUUAAAGUAGUACUUCGGUGCUACUUGAACCAUGGUCUCAAAUCAGGUAGGAAGACCCGCUGAACUUAA